Molecule: long non-coding RNA, 836 nt
Filed under: Mus musculus (house mouse)
Lineage: Eukaryota; Metazoa; Chordata; Mammalia; Rodentia; Muridae
Description: SERTA domain containing 4B, transcript variant 3 (Sertad4b)
Source: RNAcentral
GUUCUGAGCCGGAGCGAGAGGCGCUUCAGAGAAGGAGGGACCGACCUGCAGGAGCCGGCCGCCCCGCCGAGCUGCAGUCGCUGCCGCCGCCGCUGUCGCUGUCGCUGUCAGAACCCGUCCGAAGAGUGACACCUUCGCGAAAAAACAGGAGCUGUGAAACAUUUGCACACGCAGUCUUCGGAUCCCAGGUCCCCAUUCAUGAGCCCGAGGCUGUGAGACAUGCUCCAUGUGCCAAGGGGAGUUCUCACCACAUCUUCCGAGGCUGUCCUAGACAUACACUCUUCGGUCUGAGUCAGCAUUACCAGCUUAUCCAAGAGAAGUCCUAUCAUAUUCAUCAACAACGUCGAAAGUAGCCUACUUUAAGAGAAAAUAUGCAGAAGAAGAAGAUCUACAUCAAGAUUCCCAUGGGUAUUUUCCAAAACACCUGAUAUUACCGGAAGACAGGACUUGUAUCCUCAAACUUUCCCUAGAGAAGCUCAGGUUUCUUGAAGACCCAGAAACCUACCUAAGAAGGUCUGUGUUAAUUAACAAUUUGCUGAGGAAGAUACACCUAGAGACGGAGAAAGAGAGCUAUGAAUACUUCAAGGAAGCUCCCUGCUAUAAGACUGCUUAUUCUGAUACGAGAAAACGGCUGAAGUUUAUGGUACAGGAGUGCUGUUCCCAGUCUCUCUACUAUGAAGAGCUGCACUCCUACCACAUUGUGCCUUACACUUCGGAGAGUACCAUCUAUGGGAUGGGCUACACUGGUGACCACUUGGAGCAAAAUUCUCAGUUGCUCAUUUAUAAAAUGAAUUAAAAAGUAACUGUUAAGUUCAUUGAAAAAAAAAAAAAAAAAA